CGCAUCUGUGCAUGCAGCAUAUCAAUAAGCGGAGGAAAAGAAACUAACAAGGAUUCCCUUAGUAACGGCGAGUGAAGCGGGAAGAGCUCAAAUUUGAAAUCUUCAAGGUUUUACCUUGACGAAUUGUAGUUUAAAGAAGUGUUUUCUGUUGAAGUUUUGGUAAAAGUUCUUUGGAAUAGGACAUCAUAGAGGGUGAGAAUCCCGUAUUUGACCAUUAUUUUCAGCUGUGUGAUACACUUUCAAAGAGUCGGAUUGUUUGGGAAUGCAGUCCAAAAUGGGUGGUAAAUUUCAUCUAAAGCUAAAUAUUGGCGAGAGACCGAUAGCGAACAAGUACCGUGAGGGAAAGAUGAAAAGAACUUUGAAAAGAGAGUUAAACAGUACGUGAAAUUGUCAAAAGGGAAGCGUUUGACACCAGUGUUGUUUUCUCGAAAAUCAAUUAAAAAGAGUUUGAUUUUGUUGUGUAUUGACCUUAACAGCUUGCAUUUCAAUUUUCUUGCUUUUUUUAAUGCACUUUUCGUUUAACAAGUCAACAUCAGUUUCUUUUGUUGUAAAAAGGUCAUUGGAAGGUGGCUUUCUUCUCGGAGAAAGUGUUUAUAGCCUUUGACUCCUGCAAUCGGAGAGACUGAGGUCUGCAGCGUAGAUCCUUCGGGGUUAGAUACAUUUGUGCUAAGUUAUAGCUUUUUAUAGACAACUUGUUGACUAUGAUUAGUCUUGUAGCUUACUCGCUUAUGCUAUUUUACCUACGCUUAGGAUGUUGACACACGCGCGUGCUCG
Molecule: ribosomal RNA, 774 nt
Filed under: uncultured Neocallimastigales
Lineage: Eukaryota; Fungi; Neocallimastigomycota; Neocallimastigomycetes; Neocallimastigales
Description: partial large subunit ribosomal RNA
Rfam family: Eukaryotic large subunit ribosomal RNA
Source: RNAcentral